AGAGUUUGAUCAUGGCUCAGAUUGAACGCUGGCGGCAGGCCUAACACAUGCAAGUCGAGCGGCAGCACAGAGGAACUUGUUCCUUGGGUGGCGAGCGGCGGACGGGUGAGUAAUGCCUGGGAAAUUGCCCGGUAGAGGGGGAUAACCAUUGGAAACGAUGGCUAAUACCGCAUAACCUCGCAAGAGCAAAGCAGGGGACCUUCGGG
Molecule: ribosomal RNA, 206 nt
Filed under: Vibrio cholerae HFU-02
Lineage: Bacteria; Pseudomonadati; Pseudomonadota; Gammaproteobacteria; Vibrionales; Vibrionaceae
Description: partial 16S ribosomal RNA
Rfam family: Bacterial small subunit ribosomal RNA
Source: RNAcentral